AACGAACGCUGGCGGCAGGCUUAACACAUGCAAGUCGAACGGAUGUAGCAAUACAUUAGUGGCGCACGGGAGAGUAACACGUGGGAAUCUACCUUUUGGUUCGGAAUAACGUCGGGAAACUGACGCUAAUACUGGAUAAGCCCUACGGGGGAAAGAUUUAUCGCCAAAAGAUGAGCCCGCGCUAGAUUAGCUUGUUGGUGAGGUAAUGGCUCACCAAGGCUACGAUCUAUAGCUGGUCUGAGAGGAUGACCAGCCUCACUGGGACUGAGACACGGCCCAGACACCUACGGGAGGCAG
This 297-nucleotide ribosomal RNA is filed under the name uncultured Pseudomonadota bacterium. RNAcentral's name for it is "uncultured proteobacterium partial 16S ribosomal RNA". It matches the Rfam family "Bacterial small subunit ribosomal RNA", at positions 29 to 351 of the family's 1533-position model. Lineage: Bacteria; Pseudomonadati; Pseudomonadota. The record is from RNAcentral.